GGCGGCGUGCUUACACAUGCAAGUCGAGCGAGAAAGCUACCUUCGGGUAGUGAGUAAAGCGGCGGACGGGUGAGUAACGCGUGAACAAUCUGUCCCUAAAUUGAGGAUAACUCGAUGAAAGUUGGGCUAAUCCUGAAUGAUCUAUAGAUGUGAUAACACACAUAUAGCAAAGGUGGUACUGCCAUCGUUUAGGGAGGGGUUCGCGUCGGAUUAGCUAGCUGGUAGGGUAACGGCUUACCAGGGCGACGAUCCGUAGCUGGUCUGAGAGGACGAUCAGCCACACUGGGACUGAGACACGGCCCAGACUCCUACGGGAGGCAGCAGUGGGGAAUCUUUCACAAUGGACGCAAGUCUGAUGAAGCAACGCCGCGUGAGUGAGGAAGGCCUUUUAGGUUGUAAAGCUCUGUUGCCGGGGAAGAAGGUUAGUGUAAGGAAAUGUGCAUUAAUUGACGGUACCCGGUGAGGAAGCACUGGCUAACUACGUGCCAGCAGCCGCGGUAACACGUAGAGUGCAAGCGUUGUCCGGAAUCAUUGGGCGUAAAGGGUACGCAGGCGGAUAUACAAGUCAAAUGUGAAAGGUGUGGGCUUAACCUACAGACUGCGUUUGAAACUGUAUAUCUUGAGAGCAGCAGAGGAAGGCGGAAUUCCUGGUGUAGUGGUGAAAUACGUAGAUAUCAGGAAGAACACCAGUGGCGAAGGCGGUCUUCUGGGCUGCAUCUGACGCUCAUGUACGAAAGCUGGGGUAGCGAACGGGAUUAGAUACCCCGGUAGUCCCAGCUGUAAACGAUGGACACUAGGUGUUGGCGGUUCGAAUCCGUCAGUGCCGGAGUUAACGCAUUAAGUGUCCCGCCUGGGGAAUACGGUCGCAAGACUGAAACUCAAAGGAAUUGACGGGGGCCCGCACAAGCGGUGGAGCAUGUGGUUUAAUUCGAUGCAACGCGAAGACCUUACCGAGAAUUGACAUCCCGUGACUACCUGUGAAACCAGGUUUGGCACUUGU
This 1000-nucleotide ribosomal RNA is filed under the name uncultured bacterium. RNAcentral describes it as "bacterial SSU rRNA". It matches the Rfam family "Bacterial small subunit ribosomal RNA", at positions 38 to 1023 of the family's 1533-position model. The record is from RNAcentral.